This 393-nucleotide ribosomal RNA is filed under the name uncultured bacterium. RNAcentral's name for it is "partial 16S ribosomal RNA". It matches the Rfam family "Bacterial small subunit ribosomal RNA", at positions 523 to 918 of the family's 1533-position model. The record is from RNAcentral.
AUACGGAGGAUGCAAGCGUUAUCCGGAUUUAUUGGGUUUAAAGGGUGCGUAGGCGGGACUGUAAGUCAGGGGUGAAAUACUGCAGCUUAACUGUAGCAUUGCCUUUGAAACUGCCGUUCUUGAGUACAGUUGAGGUAGGCGGAAUGUGGUGUGUAGCGGUGAAAUGCAUAGAUAUACCACAGAACGCCGAUUGCGAAGGCAGCUUACUAAGCUGUUACUGACGCUGAGGCACGAAAGCGUGGGGAUCAAACAGGAUUAGAUACCCUGGUAGUCCGCACAGUAAACGAUGAAUACUUGUUUUCGGCGAUAUAAUGUCGGAGGCAAAGCGAAAGCGAUAAGUAUUCCACCUGGGGAGUACGCCGGCAACGGUGAAACUCAAAGGAAUUGACGGGG